Molecule: unclassified non-coding RNA, 318 nt
Filed under: Hevea brasiliensis (rubber tree)
Lineage: Eukaryota; Viridiplantae; Streptophyta; Magnoliopsida; Malpighiales; Euphorbiaceae
Source: RNAcentral
CGACCAUCGUGAACUGGAAAACUCCUUCUUCGAUUCUGUUUCCAACUUGAAAUUUCCGAUGUUUUAGAGAUUCCGAGGAGAGAAGACAUAGCUACGCAUACGAUAUGCUCGGUGGAUUGUACGGGGACCUCCCUCCGCCCUCUUCGGCGGAGGAAGACAAGCCCACCAAUUCUACCGUCUGGUCGAGCAGCACAAAAAUGGCGCCACCGACUCUUCGCAAGCCAUCGUCCGUCUUUGCGCCACAGACUGUUCUCAGAUCUCAAAGCAAAAUAAAAGCCGCCACUUCGACGCACCCCAAGGUUUCGGUGUCAGCGCCGG